AAACCUAAACGUGACGUCAAUGCCUAGUAACUGACGCAGCCCUUUAAAAAAGAGAGAGAGAGAGAGAGAGAGAUUCUGCAAGAUUUAAUUAUCAUCGUUUGUGUACUGCUCUCAAGACAAAACAUAUUCCGCUCGCAGUGCAACUGAUUAUGGUUGUUUGUGCGCGUGAGCCCGCGUAUGUCUCUGUGUGAGUGCGUGCGUGAGUGCGUGCGUGUGUUUUCUUCUUUAUGAGCAGCGAAUCCGUCCCGAGUUUCCAAGCGAAAGUUGCAUGGAGACACCGCGUAAGACGCGUAUAAUAAAGAGGACGGUGAGCGACAUAAAGGAACGAGGAGAGCGGGAACAACUCUAAGAAAGAGACUCUCAAGCGAACGUUAGAAAUAUUUAGCCCAUAUAGAAGGGCACUGAAGCAGUUCGUUUGAAAAAAAAAAAAAAAAGAAAAUCACUGCAGCGAUGCAUCGGAGGCGAGUCGGAGCCCUCGCAUGGAGUUGGAGAGGCAAAAUUAAUGUACAUUACAUGCACUCCACGUAACGCUCCUGAGCGAUGUCUUUCAAGGGCUCGCUGCACUGGGCAGGACAAAACUUGAGGGAUCCAUCAUGUCAAGAACAGAAGGUGAAACGAACGGUUCGUGUCACAGAACGCUCCCAAGUCGUGACGUCACCGUCUUCACAUCUGUGCAAAAGCGAGCUGUGAAGCUGAACCGACUGCGUUCCUCAUGGAAGGACAAGGACGGCUGACAGAAAUGGAAGUUGUCGGAGGAAAAAGAGGGAGUUGACCAAUAAACGAGGCCUCAGUCGUGAUAAAAUCGUGAUGAGGUCCUACGGUUAAUCGUCUGAUCCAGAACUUUCACAUGUGAGAGGGAAAAAUAAAAAAGGUAUGAUAAAUCUGGGAAAACUUUACUUUGUAUCCUGCCCAGAAGAUCAACUUCAAACCAACGUCUGUUAGAAUGCUUUACACCUGUUAAUGGAUAUUCAGCAAGUUAAUUUCUUUUUAGGGACACAAUAACACCGUCAGGUAUUUGCUAUAUUUGUCUGUAAACUAUCUGGGUUUUAAUUAAUGAGCUGGACUUUGCUUACGUUGUCACAUCCAGACGUCUGUCACGUGUGAGCUGCGUGAGACCUAAUGGGAUAUGAAAAUGAUAACGUAUAGAGUGUUCGAGCUACUAAAAAA
Long non-coding RNA from Rhinichthys klamathensis goyatoka, 1167 nucleotides. RefSeq lists it as uncharacterized. Lineage: Eukaryota; Metazoa; Chordata; Actinopteri; Cypriniformes; Leuciscidae. The record is from RefSeq and is a predicted model, not a curated record. The transcript has 6 exons.